Vanessa tameamea is the source of this 362-nucleotide long non-coding RNA. RefSeq lists it as uncharacterized. NCBI's taxonomy places the organism in Eukaryota, Metazoa, Arthropoda, Insecta, Lepidoptera, Nymphalidae. The transcript has 2 exons. The record is from RefSeq and is a predicted model, not a curated record.
UUCAUACGCUCACUUGUCAAAAAAACCAACAAUCAAAAUGUUCAAACUUGUGAUCUUCUUCGCUCUCCUGGCUUUCGCCUGUGCCAAGCCUCUUGUGUACACUGCACCGUUUGCUGCGGCGUACACUGCACCUGUUGCAGCAGCGUACACGGCUCCAGUAGCGUACUCAGCGUACAACGCCUAUUCGCCGGUCGCAUACUCCGCCUACACCUACGCUUCACCUUAUUCAUACUAUCUUUAAAAAAAUAUUUUGAUUACAAACGACGACUGUUAUCAAUUUUUUAAAAAUGUGUUCACAAUGGCGACCGAUUUAUUUAUUAUUUCAAAUUUCAGUACAAUAAAUCAACUAUAUAACUGAAUAA